Molecule: ribosomal RNA, 290 nt
Filed under: uncultured Pseudomonas sp.
Lineage: Bacteria; Pseudomonadati; Pseudomonadota; Gammaproteobacteria; Pseudomonadales; Pseudomonadaceae
Description: partial 16S ribosomal RNA
Rfam family: Bacterial small subunit ribosomal RNA
Source: RNAcentral
GAGCGCAACCCUUGUCCUUAGUUACCAGCACGUUAUGUGGGCGACUCUAAGGAGGACCGCCGGUGACAAACCGGAGGAAGGUGGGGAUGACGUCAAGUCAUCAUGGCCCUUACGGCCUGGGCUACACACGUGCUACAAUGGUCGGUACAAAGGGUUGCCAAGCCGCGAGGUGGAGCUAAUCCCAUAAAACCGAUCGUAGUCCGGAUCGCAGUCUGCAACUCGACUGCGUGAAGUCGGAAUCGCUAGUAAUCGUGAAUCAGAAUGUCACGGUGAAUACGUUCCCGGGCCUU